Non-coding RNA from Mycena vitilis, 92 nucleotides. Lineage: Eukaryota; Fungi; Basidiomycota; Agaricomycetes; Agaricales; Mycenaceae. The record is from the annotation of a GenBank genome assembly.
GACCUGGUGGUGAAUGGUUCACACUUAAAAUUCUUAAAGUAUUCCGAAGAUUCGUUGUGUGGGAGUUCUCGGUUCGAUUCCAGGCCAGGUCA